RNAcentral lists this ribosomal RNA (887 nucleotides) under Escherichia coli. RNAcentral's name for it is "partial 23S ribosomal RNA". It matches the Rfam family "Bacterial large subunit ribosomal RNA", at positions 2056 to 2925 of the family's 2925-position model. The record is from RNAcentral. Lineage: Bacteria; Pseudomonadati; Pseudomonadota; Gammaproteobacteria; Enterobacterales; Enterobacteriaceae.
AAGAUGCAGUGUACCCGCGGCAAGACGGAAAGACCCCGUGAACCUUUACUAUAGCUUGACACUGAACAUUGAGCCUUGAUGUGUAGGAUAGGUGGGAGGCUUUGAAGUGUGGACGCCAGUCUGCAUGGAGCCGACCUUGAAAUACCACCCUUUAAUGUUUGAUGUUCUAACGUUGACCCGUGAUCCGGGUUGCGGACAGUGUCUGGUGGGUAGUUUGACUGGGGCGGUCUCCUCCUAAAGAGUAACGGAGGAGCACGAAGGUUGGCUAAUCCUGGUCGGACAUCAGGAGGUUAGUGCAAUGGCAUAAGCCAGCUUGACUGCGAGCGUGACGGCGCGAGCAGGUGCGAAAGCAGGUCAUAGUGAUCCGGUGGUUCUGAAUGGAAGGGCCAUCGCUCAACGGAUAAAAGGUACUCCGGGGAUAACAGGCUGAUACCGCCCAAGAGUUCAUAUCGACGGCGGUGUUUGGCACCUCGAUGUCGGCUCAUCACAUCCUGGGGCUGAAGUAGGUCCCAAGGGUAUGGCUGUUCGCCAUUUAAAGUGGUACGCGAGCUGGGUUUAGAACGUCGUGAGACAGUUCGGUCCCUAUCUGCCGUGGGCGCUGGAGAACUGAGGGGGGCUGCUCCUAGUACGAGAGGACCGGAGUGGACGCAUCACUGGUGUUCGGGUUGUCAUGCCAAUGGCACUGCCCGGUAGCUAAAUGCGGAAGAGAUAAGUGCUGAAAGCAUCUAAGCACGAAACUUGCCCCGAGAUGAGUUCUCCCUGACUCCUUGAGAGUCCUGAAGGAACGUUGAAGACGACGACGUUGAUAGGCCGGGUGUGUAAGCGCAGCGAUGCGUUGAGCUAACCGGUACUAAUGAACCGUGAGGCUUAACCUUACAACGCCGAAG